GGCUCUUUUCUUUGUGGCAGUUCUGUGGCAGGAAGAGCCUGGGACUAUGGAUGAGCAGAGACUCUUAGAAGGGCUAUGGUUUCUCUGCUCCUUCAUGCUCGAGCAUCCUCAGAAUGUGGCUGCUCUCAAGGUACAGCACAAUCGUUCCUGGACCCUAGUUUCUCUAUGCCCACUCUUAGCAGGGAGGACCCAGAGAGUGGCUUUGUUCUUGAAUGGAUUUCAUGCUCACAUCAAAUCAAAUCAGCCUUCCAUCACUAAACUGACCAUGUGCUGCUAACUGGACGUGCUGCACUACAUUGCCUCUAGACUGCACAUACUACGCCUGAGAUACCAGUGAUCCUCACCCCUUGUGCUCUCUGGACCUGCCUGGUCCAUUCUGAUGCCCUAUUUCUGUUUGGCGUUCUCAUAAUUUGGAAACCACUCACUGCUGAUGAUGGCUCCACGUGAACAGGCUAAAGAUACAUGAGAUUACUGCAGAUGGU
Silurus meridionalis is the source of this 482-nucleotide long non-coding RNA. RefSeq lists it as uncharacterized. The transcript has 3 exons. The record is from RefSeq and is a predicted model, not a curated record. NCBI's taxonomy places the organism in Eukaryota, Metazoa, Chordata, Actinopteri, Siluriformes, Siluridae.